Populus nigra (black poplar) is the source of this 719-nucleotide long non-coding RNA. RefSeq lists it as uncharacterized. The record is from RefSeq and is a predicted model, not a curated record. NCBI's taxonomy places the organism in Eukaryota, Viridiplantae, Streptophyta, Magnoliopsida, Malpighiales, Salicaceae. The transcript is spliced from 2 exons.
CCUCUCCAGCUGAAUCUAUAACCAAAAAGUCACCAUUCUCUCUCGCAUACUAGCUGAAUCUGUUCUUCCUUUCCUACACUCUUGAUCCAUUAUCAAUGGUUUGGAAUUUGUUUCAGAUUCAUCUAAUUCCGGUGAUGGGUUUUCACUUCUUUCUCGAUUGAAUUACGUGAAGAAAUCAUCCCUCUCUCUAUGAAUUCUCUGUACUGUUGAUCAAAACGAGAGGCAAUCAUUCUCUUACAAUACGUGUUCACAGUGCUUUAGAAGACCAAAAUCUGAUCAGUGAAGUGCAUUGAAAUUAUGCAAUGGGACCAUCAACAGGAGGAAGAACAAGACUCUCUGGAAUGCAGAAGCAAGUGCUUAGUCUGUACCGGGGCUUCUUACGAGCAGCUCGUUCAAAGUCCCCUGAAGAUCGACGGCAGAUUGAAUCCUUUGUUUCAGCUGAGUUCCGCUGCAACUCCAAACAAGUAGAUCGCAAGAAUUUCAUCUACAUUGAGUACUUGCUUCGCCGUGGUAAGAAGCAGCUUGAGCAGCUCAACAGUCCUGAUACUGUUGGAUUGUCAUCUAUGAAUGCCACUUUCACUGAAACUGAAAAUCCCAAAAACUAAGUUGAGAUGAAUUACUCUGACAUCUGCGUAAUAUUGUGAAAUCAUUUUUUCUUGUGCGAUGUAUUUCUUGUUCAAACAAUUCUGUUCAUAAAACACCUGCAGUCAUUUUUUUCA